Molecule: ribosomal RNA, 361 nt
Filed under: uncultured Oscillospiraceae bacterium
Lineage: Bacteria; Bacillati; Bacillota; Clostridia; Eubacteriales; Oscillospiraceae
Description: bacterial SSU rRNA
Rfam family: Bacterial small subunit ribosomal RNA
Source: RNAcentral
AGUAGUUGAUCAGUGCUCGAGGACGACGCUGGCGGCGUGCCUAACACAUGCAAGUCGAACGGAGUAUUGCGCUGAAACGAGAGUAGCUUGCUACAGGAAUUUCUUGUAAUACUUAGUGGCGGACGGGUGAGUAACGCGUGAGGAACCUGCCUUACAGAGGGGGACAACAGUUGGAAACGACUGCUAAUACCGCAUAACAUAUUGAGAGGACAUCCUCUUAAUAUCAAAGGAGCAAUCCGCUGUAAGAUGGCCUCGCGUCUGAUUAGAUAGUUGGUGAGGUAACGGCCCACCAAGUCGACGAUCAGUAGCCGGACUGAGAGGUUGAACGGCCACAUUGGGACUGAGACACGGCCCAAACUCC